CAUGGAUUCGUCAAGAAAGGAUCUCAAGAGGCUUUCUAGACAAUUAAUUUUCCUGAGAUAUCUCCAUCUGUGCUUUCCUGACACAGUCACCCAACAGUCCACUGUGCAUUAAGUUGAGGAACUUCAACAGAAAAAUAUUAGAUGUUUCCAUCUUGAGAAAGAACUGAGACCUUUCAAGACGCAGCUGCACGCCGCGUGCGCUGGGAAGAGGAGGGGAAAGCCUAAAACGGACCUGUCUGAUGCUGCUUUGCUUAUGCCGCUGGAUCGGAGAACAGUAAAGUCACAAAGCAAGAGCACACCCACGGAAAAGUAAAGAGCAAAGUUGGAAAUGGGAGCUGUGAAGGGUUCUCUGAGCUUUGACCCAUGGCCUCUUCCACCCAUCCUAAUCUCUGCCUGUUGAAGAGAUUUCUGUGCUGCCGCAUGAACACAAUCACGUUUUCCUAGCUGAAUUGCAUACACAUUUUCUAAAACACAAUUGUUUUCAGAAAUGAAUCAGAA
This is a long non-coding RNA of Struthio camelus australis, 498 nucleotides long. RefSeq lists it as uncharacterized. The record is from RefSeq and is a predicted model, not a curated record. NCBI's taxonomy places the organism in Eukaryota, Metazoa, Chordata, Aves, Struthioniformes, Struthionidae.